UUUUUUUUUUUCUUUUUUUUUUCUCUUCAAUCCGCACAAUAAUGUUAAAAAAUGAUUUUUUUUUUCUUUUAUCAUCAUUAUCAUCAUCAAAGGCAAAGAGCAGUACACUGGAGAUCAUCCAUAACAAAGUCAACCUGAUCCAGCGGUGGAAAAUUCAGAUCGAAAGGUAAGGGCUUUCUGCCGUACAAGGACGAGGAUGAUGCAAUUUCUCUAUCGUCAACCACCGAUGAAGAUGAAUCACAAUCGCUGUGACAAUCCUCAGGUACCAUCGGUGGUGUCCGGUGAUGGUUUUUCCUGGGCGCUGUCGCUGACAACAGAAGCCCAGACUUUUUUGUUGCCGUAGUUGUUUGCUGAGGAGGCGGCCUGGGACCGCUGAAUGACUCCACCGUACUGCUCUGACUACUAGACGUGGGUCUCUGUGGAUUUACGGGAUGCUCGGGAAACCCAUUAGCUGUAUAUAAUCUGUGAUCCAUGAAAGCAUCCUGUGGAUUUUGGUAGGUGAAAGGAGAUAAAU
RNAcentral lists this unclassified non-coding RNA (514 nucleotides) under Hevea brasiliensis (rubber tree). Lineage: Eukaryota; Viridiplantae; Streptophyta; Magnoliopsida; Malpighiales; Euphorbiaceae. The record is from RNAcentral.